CCCUUAGACACUCUAGGCGGCACGCGCGCUACAAUGGGUGGAAGAACGUGUUACUGCCUCCGAAAGGAGGGGUGAAUCACGAAUUCUUGCCCGUGAAUGGGAUAGUUUGUUGCAAUUUUCGGACUUGAACUAGGAAUCCCUUGCAAACAUGCUCAAGAAUAGCGUGUUGAAUACGUCCCUGCCGUUUGUACACACCGCCCGUCGUUUCUUCCGACUGAUACUCAUUGUGAGUUGCAAGGACCCUUUAUUGGGAAAUUGCUGCAAAUGCUUUGUAUUGGAGGAAGAAAAAGUCGUAACA
Molecule: ribosomal RNA, 298 nt
Filed under: uncultured eukaryote
Lineage: Eukaryota
Description: partial 18S ribosomal RNA
Rfam family: Eukaryotic small subunit ribosomal RNA
Source: RNAcentral